GGAAUAUAGCUCAGUUGGUAGUGUGCUUGCCUCACAUGCACAAAUUCUGGGUUCAAUCCCCAGCACCA
RNAcentral lists this transfer RNA (68 nucleotides) under Marmota monax (woodchuck). RNAcentral describes it as "tRNA.Val". The record is from RNAcentral. Lineage: Eukaryota; Metazoa; Chordata; Mammalia; Rodentia; Sciuridae.